GGGGCAGAUGUGGGACAACUUCACUUCCUCAUCCCGCCGACCCUCCGACCCUCCACAUCCCGCCGACCCUCCCGCCGACCCUCCUUAGUUGGUGUCCCUGGAGUUGAAUUUCAAAUAAUGGCCCAUUUAGUCCUCUCCAGGGCCAUCCCACAUGUCCUCAUCAGGCUCAGCUGGAGAGAACAGCCUCACAAAGACAGGAGGGCUCGCUUGAGUGGAGAGGGCUAUCAGAGGAACUGAACUGCUCAUAGAUGAUUUCUUUUUUUAACCCUUAUUUUACCAGUUCAUACUGUAUUUGGAACUGAAGAACACAUUUACCCAACAUGAACUUCAGUGCGCCAUACUAUAAUAAGGGAUUCCUCAGCCUUUUGUUGUUGACGGGCCAUAUCAUCAACAAAAGACCACAAUGUACCAUAGGAGUUACUGCAAUGACUUACCCAUGAUUGGUCCUAUAUCUCAGGAGCUGAGGAGAUCUCUGUACUAUCAAUCAGUCCUCUGAAAUGGCAGGAGGGGUUCCCUGGCCACCUCCUCCCUAAAGGGCCCACCAUGGAGGAAACCAGAGCUGCCCUAACAAUGAUGAAUGGACAUCAUUAAUGUUGUUAAUCUGUUUACCUUUUUCUCUGGAAUCUGGGAAAAUGAGGGGUCAACAACGAGAGGGAAACGUUCUUACUUCGGCACCCCAGUUCCUGCAAGCCACCCAUUUGGUCUUCAGAACAUCAACAGCCACUACAGAGUGUGCAGGGGACUCAUUAACUACACGUUGACCUGACUGUCUUCUGCACUACGUUCUACUGGAGCACUCCUGCACUACGUUCUACUGGAGCACUCCUGCACUACGUUCUACUGGAGCACUCCUGCACUACGUUCUACUGGAGCACUCCUGCACUAUGUUCUACUGGAGCACUCCUGCACUACGUUCUACUGGAGCACUCCUGCACUACGUUCUACUGGAGCACUCCUGCACUACGUUCUACUGGAGCACUCCUGCACUACGUUCUAU
This 997-nucleotide long non-coding RNA is filed under the name Salmo salar (Atlantic salmon). RNAcentral's name for it is "lncRNA (ENSSSAG00000091189.1)". The record is from RNAcentral. Lineage: Eukaryota; Metazoa; Chordata; Actinopteri; Salmoniformes; Salmonidae.